Wallemia ichthyophaga EXF-994 is the source of this 87-nucleotide transfer RNA. It matches the Rfam family "tRNA". From Rfam's summary of the family: Transfer RNA (tRNA) molecules are approximately 80 nucleotides in length. Their secondary structure includes four short double-helical elements and three loops (D, anti-codon, and T loops). The record is from Rfam. NCBI's taxonomy places the organism in Eukaryota, Fungi, Basidiomycota, Wallemiomycetes, Wallemiales, Wallemiaceae.
GCUCCCGUGGUCCAGUGGUUAAGAUGUCGCUCUUAUAUGAAAUCUAUCGUAUAGCGAAGGUCGGGAGUUCGAACCUCUCCGGGAGCA